UACGUAGGUGGCAAGCGUUGUCCGGAUUUACUGGGCGUAAAGAGCGCGCAGGCGGUCGUUCAAGUCGCGUGUGAAAGCCCCCGGCUCAACUGGGGAGGGUCACGCGAUACUGAUCGACUCGAAGGCAGGAGAGGGUAGUGGAAUUCCCGGUGUAGUGGUGAAAUGCGUAGAUAUCAGGAGGAACACCGAUGGCGAAGGCAGGCUCGCUGG
Molecule: ribosomal RNA, 210 nt
Filed under: uncultured bacterium
Lineage: Bacteria
Description: partial 16S ribosomal RNA
Rfam family: Bacterial small subunit ribosomal RNA
Source: RNAcentral